GACGAACGCUGGCGGCGUGCUUAACACAUGCAAGUCGAACGCUGAAGACCUGGCUUUUGUUGGGUUGGAUGAGUGGCGAACGGGUGAGUAACACGUGAGUAACCUGCCCUCUUCUUUGGGAUAACGCCCGGAAACGGGUGCUAAUACUGGAUAUUCACUGGCCUUCGCAUGGGGGUUGGUGGAAAGGUUUGUUCUGGUGGGGGAUGGGCUCGCGGCCUAUCAGCUUGUUGGUGGGGUGAUGGCCUACCAAGGCUUUGACGGGUAGCCGGCCUGAGAGGGUGACCGGUCACAUUGGGACUGAGAUACGGCCCAGACUCCUACGGGAGGCAGCAGUGGGGAAUAUUGCACAAUGGGCGAAAGCCUGAUGCAGCGACGCCGCGUGAGGGAUGGAGGCCUUCGGGUUGUAAACCUCUUUCGCUCAUGGUCAAGCCGCAACUGUGGGUUGUGGUGAGGGUAGUGGGUAAAGAAGCGCCGGCCUCACUACCUUCCAGCAGCCGCGGGAAUUCUUAUGGAGCAUCGUUGUUGCGGAAUGAUAAGGCUUAAAGGGCAUGUAUGCUCCAGGAACAUCUAGUCCAAACUUCUAUCGCUUAACGGACAAUUCAUCUUUUACCUGCUCCAUGAGCGGAAAGGAGAGAACUGGUGUUUUGUGUGUUUUCAACAACCUGAGUCACGAGGACGCUGGAGGUUUGGUGGGGUGU
Molecule: ribosomal RNA, 698 nt
Filed under: uncultured Actinomyces sp.
Lineage: Bacteria; Bacillati; Actinomycetota; Actinomycetes; Actinomycetales; Actinomycetaceae
Description: bacterial SSU rRNA
Rfam family: Bacterial small subunit ribosomal RNA (bases 2-523)
Source: RNAcentral